ACAAAUAUACAUUAGAUAUACUUCGUAAUGCUAUCGUCUCUUCGCAAAUGAACGAAUGAAUCUACGCGCGGAAUUACGACUGCUGUAUGCGAAAGCUAACAUUAAAGCUUACUGUUAUUCAAAUCAAAAGCUUUACAUUUGAUAAGAUCACAGAUAUUUUGAAACAAUGGCAGAUACUUUUCACUCUAAACAAAAGUUAAUAAUAAAAAAUAAAUAUUUCUUUAUAUAUUAUUUAUUAUCAUAUAUAAUAAUAAAUAAAUCCAUUCGUUCCUUAUUUAUAUCAAUCAUUUUUAAAGUAAACUUUUAAACUAAAAUCUUUUGUUUUAUAUUUUAGACAACAAAACACUAAAGGACAAAGAUACAGUUACAGAUACAGAUAGAGAUAGAUAUUGUAUAUCUAUAUUAGGAAAAAAAUAACUGAAUCAAAAUAAAUCAAAUAGGCAAGGUGACCAAACUUUCUAAUUGUUGCGCAACAGUGUUGAAUAAUGUUAACUGAUCAAACAAACCAAUGAUCAGCUGUUGCUCUACAUUAACUGUUUUGUAGGCAUUUGCUGUUCGCAUUCCUGCUCCGCUUGCAACCUGUUGUCAUUUCUUAAAUUAACAUAGGAGACUUGCAUUUCUGUAUACAUUGGCUCCACUUACAUAUGGACAUACUCAUAUACAUACAUACAUCCAUAUUAGUGGAUUAGUGGAUUCUUUAAAUAUACAGAUACAUAAAUAUGUAUGUGCAUGAUUCAUAUCGAGUAUAUUAUGCCAUCAACGUUAUCAUUAUCAGCCUUGUUGUAUUGUAUGUAUGUAUGUAGUUGUCAUCAUACUCGAUUUGUUAUACAAAUGUCUGUAUGUCUGUAGAUGUUUGUAUGUACAUAGGAUACACAAUCAAGUAUAUACUUUUCCUUUUUUAAUGUGCACCAACAACAAGAACUGACAUGUUCAUGGGAACGAAGCAGGAGCAGUGUCCAAACCGGUUUUACGCUCCACGGCAGGCAUCGAAAGACAGACACAGGCUGCAUAUGGCACACAGCAUACCAUCAUAUAUGUAUGUAUGUAUGUGUGCAUACGUCUGUACAUAUCGGCGCCAAUGUCCAGCAACAACAAACGUGAAUUACAACACAUGCAUUUCAGUCACACAUACAUAUGAAUAACAGUGCCUGAGCCUGGGAUAUGUGCAUACAUAUGUAUGUAUAUCAUUGCAUGCAGGCAGGCAAGUAUGAAUCAAAGGCCACCAUCUUAAACCGGAUAUCAAUAAAAUCGAAAGUUUUAUGUAAACAGACUGAUGCAGCCGAACAAAACAUAAACAAGGCAACAUUUUGUACUGUACAUCAUACUGAUGUAUAAAUGUUGCACGUGAUUACAGAUGAUCGACUGUACAUACAUAUGUAUUUAUGAAAUAUACAUCAGCACAUGAAUACUAAAGGGUCGAGCUCAAAGAUCAAGUCUAGAAAUUACUUAUUACAGCUGCAAACUAAGUGGAUACAUACACACAUAUACAUACAUACAAUCAUGGAUAUAUUAUGCAGCAUAAAGAUAUUUGUAUAUUUGCUGCCUUUAUAGGAACAAACAACGAGCCUAUGCUAAAAACAACCACCGCUGCAAAUGUUGCCAAUCUAAAAAUGUUGCAGCAACAUUUCACGGCGAAUAUACGAGAAAAGGGGAACAGAUAUAU
Molecule: long non-coding RNA, 1663 nt
Organism: Drosophila mojavensis
Lineage: Eukaryota; Metazoa; Arthropoda; Insecta; Diptera; Drosophilidae
Exons: 2
Source: RefSeq, a predicted model, not a curated record